GAUGAACGCUGGCGGCGUGCCUAAUACAUGCAAGUCGAGCGAACAGACGAGGAGCUUGCUCCUCUGACGUUAGCGGCGGACGGGUGAGUAACACGUGGAUAACCUACCUAUAAGACUGGGAUAACUUCGGGAAACCGGAGCUAAUACCGGAUAAUAUAUUGAACCGCAUGGUUCAAUAGUGAAAGACGGUUUUGCUGUCACUUAUAGAUGGAUCCGCGCCGCAUUAGCUAGUUGGUAAGGUAACGGCUUACCAAGGCAACGAUGCGUAGCCGACCUGAGAGGGUGAUCGGCCACACUGGAGCUGAGACACGGUCCAGACUCCUACGGGAGGCAGCAGUAGGGAAUCUUCCGCAAUGGGCGAAAGCCUGACGGAGCAACGCCGCGUGAGUGAUGAAGGUCUUCGGAUCGUAAAACUCUGUUAUUAGGGAAGAACAAAUGUGUAAGUAACUAUGCACGUCUUGACGGUAUCUAAUCAGAAAGCCACGGCUAACUACGUG
Molecule: ribosomal RNA, 497 nt
Filed under: uncultured bacterium
Lineage: Bacteria
Description: partial 16S ribosomal RNA
Rfam family: Bacterial small subunit ribosomal RNA
Source: RNAcentral